Molecule: long non-coding RNA, 5220 nt
Organism: Taeniopygia guttata (zebra finch)
Lineage: Eukaryota; Metazoa; Chordata; Aves; Passeriformes; Estrildidae
Source: Ensembl
GGGUGCUGUCUAUGCCUGGGGCAAACGGGCUGUUUUGAAUAAAUAUUUUGGGGUAGAGCUGCUGCAAACAGUAUAAUGUUUUUCAUACUGACCCUUCUGGGGUUUAAAAUUCAUUUGGUAAUUAAAUUAAUUCACUACUGGUAUUACAGUUGAGUACAUUUACUUUCCAAAUGGCAAAAUAUUGAACUUUAUUCUAAUUUAAAUGGAUCCUCAGAUUGGGGCAUACUCCCACUGUUAUGUUAACUAUUUAAAGCUACAGAACUGGCCAAAGUAAGGGCUGGUGUCUUUGAUUUAGCUGCAUUGUGAGCUUUGGUAGGUCCUGCUAUAUUGAUUCUAGCCCCACAAAAGUGUAUAUGCUAAUAUAAAACACUUAAAAUAGGCAAACUCUUGUCCUGAUAACAUUAUUGGCAAACUUCAGAGUUGCCAAUAUUUAACAAUGUACCCAAAAAUAGACUCUUCCAAACAUACUUGAUUACCUGAAGAUACAGAUAAGUGAGUCAGAUCAUGAUGCUGAUAAUGCUAAGGGAUGGCUUUGAUCCCUGUAUGGACCAUUCACUGGAAAGCUGGACUCGAUGAUCCUUGUGGCUCCCUUCCAACUCAGAGAAUUCUUUGAUUCUGUGAAGUCCAGCAGCACAAAGCCAGAUAGACAAGCACAAAACAGGAAAACACAGCUUUCCACCUAAGUGGCUACACUUUGGCCUGAGGAAGAGGAACUGUGGAGGUUCACAGGAAGGUAGAUGAAGUUUUUGAGGGAUUCCUUGUUAUUGGGUACAAUGCCAUUGUUUUUCUUACUUUUAACCAGUUCUAGUGGUAGAUUCAACUCAUUAUUCCUCUUACUUUUCUUCCCCCUCUCAUGAAACAAGUCUACAUGAAACUGUGGAUAGGCAGUAUUUUGAAAUGAAGCAAUAUUUUCUACUACAUUGAGUUUGCAGCCCAGUCCAGCACGGCAAGGCUAAUACUGAAAAUACGGCAAAGUGCAGCCAGGAUGCGAGAGUGAACAGGGUGCAGCGGGUAAAUGGCAGCAUAUUGUUGAAACAGUUUUGAUGUCAAAGAAGGAAAACAUGGGGCUGUAUCCUGCCUUGUCUUGGCUGGUUCCAAAUUACUGAAAGGCUGUUCCAAGCCUGAGCACCACCAUGGCUCAACACUCACCCAUGUAUUGCCUCUGGGACAGUUCACUUUAGCCCUGCAUCUUGAUUUCUUGUACAGGAGUUCUACAUCAUGAUUUCAUCUUCCUGUAUGGGUGGUAGGUGGAGUGAAAGAUCCACAGUGUUAUACUUCUAAACAUUUUGACUAUCCUAAGGCUUCUUAGGGUUGGGGGUUUUUCCAUUUCUUCAUAGUUAUUUCUACAAAGCAAGACAGUGCAUUUUAUUUUAAAUGCAAGGAUUUUAAAUUUCAAGGAUUAAAAAAUUAAAAACAGAUAAAAAAUAAAAAAUGUGGGGAAGAAGAACUGAGAAUUUUGAAAUAACUUUAAGAUAUUCAAAGUGACAGAAAGAGACUGAGAUUCUUUUUGCUUUCAUACUAACAGACUAGAUGUUAUCCUUUGAGUGACAUCAGUAAAUAUUUAGUGCAGGAGAUUCCCAAGGGAAUUGAUAAGUCUGCCAGACCUUAGGCACAGACCCUGUACUCCACUACUUUUCUGUAAAGCACCAUUCUUUUGCAUUAGCCACCUCUGUCAAAGUUGAAAGAUCGCAGUUCACAAAGAGUUCUGUCACAAAGGAUAAAUCCCCAGUCUGGGGACAGUAAAUCAUCUUUUUAAAGACAUGUGUGACAGCAGCAAAGCUUUCAGUUUUAGACCUUAAACAAAGAGAAGUCAUCUUGCAGUCUCAAUUGCUAGCAUAAAUUUAAUUUUAAAUCAAGUUUAAUUGUGCUGGGCACCACUACAAGUAGAAAACAUUUUUUUGUUUUUCUGUCUUUUGCUAUACAAAUGUGGUUUGCAUUUUAAAAAAUGUAUUAAGUGGUAGAAAUCAGAGAUAGAUAGGAAGAAGCCUAAUAAGUAAUUUUAUCCAUUUCCUUCGCCCCCGUAGAGAUGAAUGCUUUGUCUAGUCUGGUUUUAAAUAUCUAAAAUGAUGAGGCCUCCACCUCUUCCCACAAGGGACUUCUCAGCCAUUUAAUAGGCUUCUUUGUUAGGAAAUACUUGCCUCACACUGAUCCUAUCUUUUUUCUUCUGCAUAAUGUAGUCCCUUUCUUCUGUGCCCACUAUUUUAACUUUUAUGAAAUCUGGGAAAUGCAUCAUAUUUAUCCAUUUCAUACUGUAGCUGAAUAAUUCAUAAUCCUUGUUAUUCAAAUAACAAAAGAGAUAAGCAGCCAAUAGCUGAGCAGCUAAUACUUCACUGAGAUGCUGUACCAUGUACCAAUGGGUAUAUUUUGUGGCAAGUCCUGGCUGACACUGCUUUCUGCAUUACAAAGUGAAAAAUGUCAAAAAUGUCAAGUGAAACUGAAGAAAUGCAUCUUCCCAAGUGCAUGCAUGGCAAUAUUACUGAAAUUUCAAGAGGUGCUGAGGCAAACAGCCUACUUCUUUGGAUAGAGCUUUUCUUUCUAUAAGUGGGUGAUUUUAUUAAAAGUAUGCUUUCAAAAAGCAUUUGAAUUUUCUAUUCAUAAGCAAACCUCUAGAUGAGAACCACACUAUGUCAAAACUCUUUAACUUGUUGAGAGACAAGGCUGGAUUGAUUGCCACUCACUGCUAAGCAGUUUUUGCUGACAGCUUAGCUCAGAAGAAAAAUUUAAUCCAGCGUUAUAGAGUUUGAAAAGAUGCCUUUGCAACUGUGACACUGGAAUCAGAUCUGUGCAUGAAAAAAUGACUCAUGUUUUGACAACAGUAACUGCAUUUCUGAUUUAAUUACAACAUAUUAGAUAAUCCUCUACCUCACUCAAAGGGCAAAAAGAAGCAGUGUGACUAAGGAAAUCCUAGGUGGACAGCCAGAUUUUAUGUGAUUUUGCAUUCUUUAAAAAGGCAGCGUUAUGCUUUAUGUUGACCCUAGGCCAGGUGGGAGGUCUGCUAGGUCUCUCUAACCUCAGAGCUGUAGUGGAUGCACAUAAAAAAAGGUGUAUCAACAGCCCACAUGGAUGUAGAGCUCCUCAUAUACCUGCUAAUAUAUGGCAAUCCACAGCUGGAGAUCUCUUGAGAUGGAGGUUGCGUCUGUGGGUUUGAUUCUUGCCUAUGGACUUCUCUGGAUUCUUUUAAAUGUUGUGUUUAACCCACUUAUAGUCUUGGCACCUAUAAAUUCUCACAGUAUAGGGUCUCACAAUUUAAUUCUGUGUUUGGUGGAAAAGGUCUGCUUGUCUUAAAAACCCCUGAGGUACUUGUUACAUCUGCCCUACUUAUUCCAAUAAGGAAAGCAGUUCUGAGGUAUGAUGGCAUAUUGUUUCCUCUACACUCCUCAGAACUUCAUCUAUCCUUGGAGAUGUUAACAUCAGGGUUUUAUCCCUUAUACUUCUCCUCUUCUGCCUUUUGUCCAAGCUGAACAUCCUAGUCUAUUUGAUCUCUCCUUGGGCAGCAGGCUUUCCAUGCUCACCACCAGCCACUGCACUUGCCUGAACCUUUUCUAUGGUUUGUUUUUUGGUGGUUUUUUUUUUUUUGUUGUUGUUUGUUUGUUUUUUUUUUUUUUUACUUUGAGGUGGGAUGAAGCAUUUAGAAAUAGAUUCUCAUUAGUGCCAUUUGUUGAUAAGCCAUGUGAUCACAUAAGACAUCUGUACUCCUACAGCCAUGGAAAUUACUUUGUCAUUUUUAUUGGUCCUGACAGCACAUCUGAGGUGUUACACUUGAUUAUUGCUAGUUUAUGUGUUAUACGGAUGUGCAUUGAUAAACUCACUAACAUGCGAGUUUAUCCAGUGCAUUCUAACAUCCCUGUUUAAAUUGUUUGGUUCACAUGGAUGCAGGAGACAGUAGAUUUCAGAGAAUAUUUAAUUUAAUCUUGGCAUAGACUGUAUGGAUUUUAGCUCUAUUGAGCAUGUGGCCUGACAUUGCUGGACUGAGCAGCCACUCACCAUCUCUCUCUGCCAUAGUGAUGGCAUCUACCUCAUCCACUUGCUGCAGCCAUCCCAAACUACAGCCUAGAGCCAUUUUUAUUGCAAGAAUAUAUUUUUCUUUUAAACACCUUUUACUGAAUCUUUUUAUUUCCUUAAGACCCUGUGGCUUUUUUCAUGCCCUUCUUUCUUCAUUCCAAGAAGAGGAGGUGCUCUCAGAUAAAAUUAUUAAUAAUGAUGCUGGGUAGACAGUAAGCCCAUUACACUGGGUUCUUCAUAUUGCCUAGCAGGGCAAAGGUUUGGGGCCUCUUCCUUCAGAUGUCCUACCAGAUAUAAGCAGGGACCUCAGCAUUUUGCUGUCCUGGGCCUCACAGAAGGCUCUUUGCAGUCCCUGGAGGUCUUCAUGCUGAUGCUCUUUACAUCAGUGUCCCAUCUUUUAGUUAGAAAAACUGAGUGACUCUAAGGAAACAUUAUUAUUGCAAUAAAACUAGAGAGAGAUUAUUUUCUUUCAGUGAAGAAUGAAAUCAUGAAGCUGAAACUUUCUGGGGCACUUCCAUGGUCAGCUGCAAAUAUCUAAUGACUUUUUUGUUUGUUUUAGUAACUAAACACAAUAAUAAAACCAGGUCAGUGAGGCUGCAUGAAUCAUGCAGAUAGUUAAUGUAGUUUCACAAGUAGGUGCUGAAAAUGUGUGGGGGAAAAGGGAUUAAAAAAAAAAAGAAAAUGGAGGAAAAGACUUGAUGACAUAAUAGGGCUUGGGUGGAAAGGGCAAACAGCUGUUGAUCUUCUACAAGAGAUUGCAGAAAUAAUGCACAAAGACAGGUAGAAUGUGAAGAAUGUGUGUGUACACUCCAGUGUAUUAUGGACAUAUUGUAGAGUAAAAUUCUCAAUCCAACAAACUUGAAAAAAGGAAGUUUUAAUCAUACAUUACUUUACUUUUUACUUUGUCACAAAAAAUCCAUAGGUUUUAAGUUCCAGAUCAAGUUGAGGCUUACCAAAUGUAACAUGAGUUUUACGAGAGGAGUUGGCUGCUGUAACUGCCUUCUAUAACUGUCUUUUUUAGAUUUAUGUCAUAGUGUGGGAACUUCUUUUUGUUUCUGUUUAUUUCAUGAGUAGAAUAAUAAAAUCUGCCACAGUCUUGCAGACAAGGAAACUAUGACAUGGAAGCAAACGACAAAAAUAUAACCAUUUCUAUCUGAAAUAAUGAAGUACUAAUGUAAUAGCAAUUGUUUCACUCAAUAAAACUAAUUUUUCAGUAAA